GGGGGUACAGCUCAGUGGUAGAGCACAUGAUUAGCAUGCAUGAGGUCCUGGGUUCAAUCCCCAGUACCUCAG
RNAcentral lists this transfer RNA (72 nucleotides) under Camelus bactrianus (Bactrian camel). It matches the Rfam family "tRNA". Rfam says of the family: Transfer RNA (tRNA) molecules are approximately 80 nucleotides in length. Their secondary structure includes four short double-helical elements and three loops (D, anti-codon, and T loops). RNAcentral also lists the same sequence under 3 other names. Lineage: Eukaryota; Metazoa; Chordata; Mammalia; Artiodactyla; Camelidae. The record is from Rfam by way of RNAcentral.